AUGAGGAAACUGAGGCAUGGAGCAGUUCAGCCCCCUGGACUGAGCUUUACUGGGCCACUGGGCCGCCGUGGGCUUCCAUUCGUGGUGACCGGCAGGGCUCCUUGUCCCCGGCCCCAGGUGACCAUGCAGAGGAAGAAAGCUCUGGGCCACUCUCAGAAUGUGGCUCAGACCCCGAGGUCACCGGGGUCUCGUCCCAUGCAUACCUGGCAGAGGAAGCUUGCUCUAGCAGGGCCUGCACAGGCCACGCCCUGGGCCCUGAACUCCCCGGGGGGACCCUGGUCUCUGCUCCACCGUGGCCCGGGACGCCCCUCCACACGGCCCCCGCCGUUUCGCCCACGUUCCCCCAGCGAAGGCACCUGAGUGGGGGCCCCGGCCACUUCCAAGGAGGCCUGAAUCCCCGGGCAAGCAAUGCGGGGUGCGGUCCGCUCACACCAGCUCCCCGAGAAGGCUCAGCAAACAGCACCGUCACUGUCGUCGGGACUGGCCUCCUGGCUCCUUCACACAUCCUCUCGAAUAACCAACGAGAAAGGAAUUGAUCCUCAAACUCCUUCCUCCAAGGUCAGCCUCCUUUCUGCCAAGAUCUAAGAAAAGAUUUAAUUUCAGUCACUUCUGCUGCCAGUUUCAAUUCUGCAAUGUCAUCUUCCGAGCCGCGAGUCUGAAUUACACCCUGUGCACCCUGGGCGCCGCAUCGUCUUGGUUGAGGCCAGCAGAAGACCCUCCGAGGGAGCCCCGUGUGCCGAGGAGAGGGGCGUCGGAGGCCUUUCACACACAGCUUUGUCUGUGCAGAAGGGGUCCGUCCCGAAUGAUCGACAAGCACAUCAUCACGUGCAAAACAACACAGAUUUGGGGGCCACACAGGCAGGAAGAUCCCGACAGCCAGACACACGGACGUGAACGAACGACCUCUGAGUACAAAAACUGUGUCAGGGACGUGGUCACGGGAGCGCCUGGAAAGGGAAGGGGCUCCUGGCGGCCCGAGAGUAGCAGGUGCUGCACGCGCUCGUGAACAGGAGCAGGACAGCCGGACUCCUGUGGGAUGUGCAUGCGGUGGCCGCUGCAGCCACGGAGCGUGACACGAGCCGGACACGAGCCUGAUGCAGCUUCGUGAUCUAAAACGACAGGGGAGGGGCGCCUGGGUGGCUCGGUCGGUUAAGCAUCCGACUUCGGCUCAGGUCAUGAUCUCGCGGUCCGUGAGUUCCAGCCCCGCGUCGGGCUCUGUGCUGACGGUUCAGAACCUGGAGCCUGCUUCAGAUUCUGUGUCUCCCUCUCUCUGCCCCUCCCCCGUUCAUGCUCUGUCUCUCUCUGUCUCAAAAAUAAAUAAACGUUAAAAAAAAAUUAAAAAAAAUAA
This 1348-nucleotide long non-coding RNA is filed under the name Felis catus (domestic cat). Its description in RNAcentral is "lncRNA (ENSFCAG00000050426.1)". The record is from RNAcentral. Lineage: Eukaryota; Metazoa; Chordata; Mammalia; Carnivora; Felidae.